AAAGAAACUAACAAGGAUUCCCUUAGUAACGGCGAGUGAACCGGGAAAAGCUCAAAUUUGAAAUCUGGCUGUCUUCGAUAGUCCGAGUUGUAAUCUAUAGAAGCGUUUUCCGUGCUGAACUGUGUAUAAGUGUCUUGGAACAGACUAUCAAAGAGGGUGACAAUCCCGUACUUUACACAAUCAUCAGUGCUCUGUGAUACGUUCUCUACGAGUCGAGUUGUUUGGGAAUGCAGCUCAAAAUGGGUGGUAAAUUCCAUCUAAAGCUAAAUAUUGGCGAGAGACCGAUAGCGAACAAGUACCGUGAGGGAAAGAUGAAAAGCACUUUGGAAAGAGAGUUAAACAGUACGUGAAAUUGUUAAAAGGGAAACGAUUGAAGUCAGUCGUGUUUAUUGGAUUCAGCCGGUCUUCGGUGUACUUCCUUUAAACGGGUCAACAUCAGUUUUGUCCGGUGGAUAAAGGCAGUAGGAAUGUGGCUCCCUCGGGAGUGUUAUAGCCUAUUGUCACAUACACUGGAGGAGACUGAGGACUGCAGCUCGCCUUUUUGGCCGGGGUUCGCCCACGUUCGAGCUUAGGAUGUUGACAUAAUGGCUUUAAACGAC
This 599-nucleotide ribosomal RNA is filed under the name Trichosporon sp. IFM 56913. RNAcentral's name for it is "LSU rRNA". It matches the Rfam family "Eukaryotic large subunit ribosomal RNA", at positions 58 to 648 of the family's 3401-position model. The record is from RNAcentral. Lineage: Eukaryota; Fungi; Basidiomycota; Tremellomycetes; Trichosporonales; Trichosporonaceae.